This 683-nucleotide long non-coding RNA is filed under the name Numida meleagris (helmeted guineafowl). Its description in RNAcentral is "lncRNA (ENSNMEG00000010103.1)". Lineage: Eukaryota; Metazoa; Chordata; Aves; Galliformes; Numididae. The record is from RNAcentral.
AUGUGGUGGAGAGAAGCAGUAGGCAGACAAAGCCAUUUCCAUUCUCAACUCAGCUCCUCAUGCAACUGUGUCACUCUGGUGGAGCAAAGGCUCUGUCUAAAGUGCAUGCAAUCAGAGCUUGUGAGGCCGCGGGAUGCAAGGCUACAGAAAGAGAUGGUGUGGCCAUUUCUCAGUGAUCUGCGCACACCUGCCCUACUGGAGACACAGGAACAAGUACAUCACCUGCUGAAUUUCCAGACCCUUAUCAAAACAGUAAACACAGGGAGUUUUGUUUCCCUGCACGCAGCUUCCCUUACUGACAGGUCAUACUGGAAGAGGAGCUGUCUAACAUAGCUGUGGUCCAGAAAAGACCCUCAUGGGUAUUACUGUCCAUGUGAGUAGUAACACGGGCAUGCUUUGUGGUAAUGCAUUAGGGACCAAGUGGACGGUGCUCGGCACUUCACUUCAGUGCAUGUGCAGAAUGCACAAAGCCAGAAGGCAAGUCUGCAGAUGCCGGACUCCCCUUCAAGGUCAUGCUGUUUCUCAUUUAUUUUUUUGGUAUUUCCAUCUGAUAAACAAACCGAGUUUAAAUGCUUCCAAAUGCAUUUGUUUCUAUUCUAUUGACACACUCAUGAAGUCCAACUGAAAAACACAUGCUGGGCUAAUUCUUAUAAUUAAUAAAUGACUAUGAUCAUAUAUUUACA